Molecule: ribosomal RNA, 446 nt
Filed under: uncultured bacterium
Lineage: Bacteria
Description: partial 16S ribosomal RNA
Rfam family: Bacterial small subunit ribosomal RNA
Source: RNAcentral
CCUACGGGUGACAGCAGUCGAGAAUCAUUCACAAUGGGGGAAACCCUGAUGGUGCGACGCCGCGUGGGGGAAUGAAGGUCUUCGGAUUGUAAACCCCUGUCAUGUGGGAGCAAAUUAAAAAGAUAGUACCACAAGAGGAAGAGACGGCUAACUCUGUGCCAGCAGCCGCGGUAAUACAGAGGUCUCAAGCGUUGUUCGGAAUCACUGGGCGUAAGGCGUGCGUAGGCUGUUUCGUAAGUCGUGUGUGAAAGGCGCGGGCUCAACCCGCGGACGGCACAUGAUACUGCGGGACUAGAGUAAUGGAGGGGGAACCGGAAUUCUCGGUGUAGCAGUGAAAUGCGUAGAUAUCGAGAGGAACACUCGUGGCGAAGGCGGGUUCCUGGACAUUAACUGACGCUGAGGCACGAAGGCCAGGGGAGCGAAAGGGAUUAGAUACCCGGGUAGUC